Molecule: long non-coding RNA, 102 nt
Organism: Etheostoma cragini (Arkansas darter)
Lineage: Eukaryota; Metazoa; Chordata; Actinopteri; Perciformes; Percidae
Exons: 4
Source: RefSeq, a predicted model, not a curated record
AUUUUUGAUAUUGGUCCAGCAUCAAAGGAGAAGUCCAGUCGAUUUCAACACGUUGCUCUGUUAUUUGUAAAUUUGGAGUGCUGUCAGUAGCAAGAAAAACGA